This is a long non-coding RNA of Anguilla rostrata (American eel), 1957 nucleotides long. RefSeq lists it as uncharacterized. The record is from RefSeq and is a predicted model, not a curated record. Lineage: Eukaryota; Metazoa; Chordata; Actinopteri; Anguilliformes; Anguillidae. The transcript has 3 exons.
UUAAUUUCUUGUUUUCGUCGUAGGCCUACUGGCCUAUGCCUACUGCUCGAUUUGAUAUUUAGACAAUGUUUGGCAUCGCCAAGGUCUUGAUUUCAGUUUUAUGAUUCAUCUUCAUUUUGAUAUUGAUUGUUAGCAUGAAAAGUAUCUUUCUGCGAUUACAAUUUAAAAAUCCAUUUCACCUCCAGUGCUCUGUGGUCUUUGUUUACAUCUGUUCACACACUAAACAAAGAUAUUUGACUCCUAAUUCAUCUCAGUCUCGACCUCCACGGGGGGAUAUCGGAUUCUGCUGCUUACUUAGAAUGAUGGUAGUCACAGAAGGAUGCAACGCUGUUUCCAAGACAAAUGCCCAAGAUACCCACUUUGUAGAUAAUGUGGGUUAGCAAACAGUGAAAGCAACUCCAGCUAAAUUGCUGUUGCAAAACUGACCUUCCUUGAUGCUGGCCAGCUGCUCGAGACAGUUCUCACGAUCAGAAUGUGAACAGACAGCAUUAGUGCAUGCCAGAUGAUGAUGAUGAAACCUUAUUGUAAUCUCUGCAUCUGUGGCACUUCGCCCCCUGGUGGUGAACAUAAUCAUGUCAGGUAGGGAAAAGAGAAGAUGAGGCUGCAGUGUAACUUUCAAAACAAGGGUCAAAGGUCAAACCCAGAGACUUUUUUUUUUUUUUUUUUUUUUUUUGUAGGCAAGACAAUGUACGUCAAUUUAUCGGGGGGCGAAUCCUAUACGUUAAACGUUUGUGAUGUGAAGAGUGGGUGGGGAAGGAGCAGAGAUGGCUCCCUCUCCUAUUUGAAUGCUCGUGGUGUGUUUCCCAAAUCCUGGAACACCUUCCGGGACUCUGCUUUUUCCAAAUUCUGUCAUUCUGUCUUUGUUUCCCUACUUGGCUUCCUCUGCUUGGCAUCCCAAUGUAGCAAUGAAAGGAAGGACGAGAGGAGACGAUGAAAGGAGAACAGAAGGAUCUCCAAACUAACUGUCAGUGAAAUCAGGAGAGGACUGCAUGAGGAAACGAAUGCAUUCUCACUGAUUUAAAAACCCGAGAGAAGAGGCUCGAUGUGUGAUAAUUACUGAAGCGGGUUCUGUGAGUGGAGGGAGCCCUGCUGUUUAAUAGGGAAUCUGUUCACAGCAACACAAGAUGGCCGAGUUAAGACAGAGCCUAUUUUACAGUGUCAAUAAAUAAGACUCUGUUUACCGUGGUGAACCUGGACAAUGAUUGUGAUUAAGCUCAUGUUGGAAUUUCACUUGACUUUCAGACCUGUAAUGGUUCCCUGCAUUAAAAUGUAUUAAUCUGUCCCGCUAACACUUCCGAGCAAACCAAUUCCCCCCGCGCGCCAAUUGACCUGAAGUGAAGAGGGCUUCAGCUCCUCGGUAAUGAAGGUUGCGAUUAGCGGCACGUCAUUAAAAGCGCGCCGUUUCGGCGAAACUGAAGCCGCCACGUGGUCUUGGAUCAGCUGGCCUGAGAGAAAAAAAGAUGCUAACUUGACAGCGCGCACCAACAGCGCGGUUGAUUCGCACUGGAAUGUUGAGCGCAACCGAACCAGGAACAGAAUGCUUCGACCGUCUUCGCGGCUAGGCUCAUCUUCUUAGCUCACUCUCUGCUAAUCGGGCCCUAAGUCCCCGACAGUAAUCUUGGCCCUCUUUCCCUCUGCCUAUCCUAUUAGAGUAAAAAAUAUGAAGUACAAACCCUGACUUACCUCUUUCAUCCGUUUCCUUGAUUCUACUGUGCGGCGUGUCGUUCAGGUCUUACCACCCUGACCUGAAUUCACGAUACACUGAGACAAACUGUCUGCCUUGUUGAAAGAUAAUCCUCCUGAUUGUUACCUGAUGUGGGCUAGUAAUUUAUUGAAAUGUGGUUAUAAAUGAUGAACAUUCAAUACAUUUUUUUGUAACCUUUAAAUAUGUUUAAAUAUGUUUUGAAGCAAUAAUGGUAAAUAUUUAACAUAAUUAAAAUAUAAAUAAUUCUGUAAA